UACGGGGGGGGCAAGCGUUGUUCGGAAUUACUGGGCGUAAAGGGCCAGUAGGCGGCCGGCUAAGUCCGACGUGAAAUCCCCAGGCUUAACCUGGGAACUGCGUCGGAUACUGGCUGGCUUGAAUUCGGGAGAGGGAUGCAGAAUUCCAGGUGUAGCGGUGAAAUGCGUAGAUAUCUGGAGGAAUACCGGUGGCGAAGGCGGCAUCCUGGACCGAGAUUGACACUGAUGAGCGAAAGCCAGGGGAGCAAACGGG
RNAcentral lists this ribosomal RNA (253 nucleotides) under uncultured bacterium. RNAcentral describes it as "partial 16S ribosomal RNA". It matches the Rfam family "Bacterial small subunit ribosomal RNA", at positions 524 to 776 of the family's 1533-position model. The record is from RNAcentral.